CACACGGAAUUCUUGNGCAAUGGGCGAAAGCCUGAACCANCNACGCCGCGUCAGGGAUGAAGGCCUUCGGGUUGUAAACCUCUUUUCUUGGGGAAGAAUUUUGNCGGUACCNAAGGAAUANGCCUCGGCCAAUUACGUGCCAGCAGCCGCGGUAUUACUCCGUG
This 164-nucleotide ribosomal RNA is filed under the name uncultured bacterium. Its description in RNAcentral is "partial 16S ribosomal RNA". It matches the Rfam family "Bacterial small subunit ribosomal RNA", at positions 352 to 533 of the family's 1533-position model. The record is from RNAcentral.